Molecule: ribosomal RNA, 584 nt
Filed under: uncultured bacterium
Lineage: Bacteria
Description: partial 16S ribosomal RNA
Rfam family: Bacterial small subunit ribosomal RNA
Source: RNAcentral
UGGGGAAUUUUGGACAAUGGGCGAAAGCCUGAUCCAGCAAUGCCGCGUGUGUGAAGAAGGCCUUCGGGUUGUAAAGCACUUUUGUCCGGAAAGAAAUCCUUGGCUCUAAUACAGUCGGGGGAUGACGGUACCGGAAGAAUAAGCACCGGCUAACUACGUGCCAGCAGCCGCGGUAAUACGUAGGGUGCAAGCGUUAAUCGGAAUUACUGGGCGUAAAGCGUGCGCAGGCGGUUUGCUAAGACCGAUGUGAAAUCCCCGGGCUCAACCUGGGAACUGCAUUGGUGACUGGCAGGCUAGAGUANGGCAGAGGGGGGUAGAAUUCCACGUGUAGCAGUGAAAUGCGUAGAGAUGUGGAGGAAUACCGAUGGCGAAGGCAGCCCCCUGGGCCAAUACUGACGCUCAUGCACGAAAGCGUGGGGAGCAAACAGGAUUAGAUACCCUGGUAGUCCACGCCCUAAACGAUGUCAACUAGUUGUGGGGAUUCAUUUCCUUAGUAACGUAGCUAACGCGUGAAGUUGACCGCCUGGGGAGUACGGUCGCAAGAUUAAAACUUAAAUGAAUUGACGGGGUCAUAGCUGUUUCCU